Molecule: small nucleolar RNA, 158 nt
Filed under: Plasmodium billcollinsi
Lineage: Eukaryota; Apicomplexa; Aconoidasida; Haemosporida; Plasmodiidae
Description: Plasmodium sp. DRC-Itaito small nucleolar RNA snoR03
Rfam family: small nucleolar RNA snoR03
Source: RNAcentral
CUUCAUAUAUUCCAUUUGUGUUGCAUGUGUUUAUAUAUAAAUGAACAACGUGGGUCAGAAAAUGGAUAAAGAAAAUUAAGGAGAUAUAUUACUUUAUUUAAUUUUUUGUUGUUUUAUUAAUAAAUAAAAAAAUAGUAUAUUUCUUCAACAAUAUUUAA